UACGUAGGGAGCAAGCGUUAUCCGAAUUUAUUGGGUGUAAAGCGUGUGUAGGCGGUUUAUUAAGUUCAAGGUUUAAUUCCGAAGCUUAACUUCGGAUCGCCUUGAAAACUGAUUUACUUGAGUGUGGUAGAGGCAAAUGGAAUUUCUAGUGUAGCGGUAAAAUGCUUAGAUAUUAGAAGGAACACCAGUGGCGAAGGCGAUUUGCUGGGCCAUUACUGACGCUGAGGCACGAAAGCGUGGGGAGCAAAUA
This 250-nucleotide ribosomal RNA is filed under the name uncultured prokaryote. RNAcentral describes it as "partial 16S ribosomal RNA". It matches the Rfam family "Bacterial small subunit ribosomal RNA", at positions 524 to 774 of the family's 1533-position model. The record is from RNAcentral.